RNAcentral lists this ribosomal RNA (367 nucleotides) under uncultured eukaryote. Its description in RNAcentral is "SSU rRNA". It matches the Rfam family "Eukaryotic small subunit ribosomal RNA", at positions 587 to 972 of the family's 1831-position model. The record is from RNAcentral.
AGCUCCAAUAGCGUAUAUUAAAGUUGUUGCAGUUAAAAAGCUCGUAGUUGAACUUCUGGUCAAGUCUGACUUUGGCUUCGGUCGAAGCAGACAUGGCCAUCCGUCAGAAAACCAGGGUGGACCUUAACUGGUUACUCUGGGGAUCUGACAAUUUACUUUGAAAAAAUUAGAGUGUUCAAGGCAGGCUAUCGCCCUGAAUAUUACAGCAUGGAAUAAUGGAAUAGGACUGGGUCCAUUUUGUUGGUUUAUGGACGCAGUAAUGAUUAAUAGGGACAGUUGGGGGCAUUAGUAUUUAAUUGUCAGAGGUGAAAUUCUUGGAUUUAUUAAAGACUGACUUAUGCGAAAGCAUUUGCCAAGGAUGUUUUCA